Prinia subflava (tawny-flanked prinia) is the source of this 8665-nucleotide long non-coding RNA. RefSeq lists it as uncharacterized. The record is from RefSeq and is a predicted model, not a curated record. The transcript has 5 exons. NCBI's taxonomy places the organism in Eukaryota, Metazoa, Chordata, Aves, Passeriformes, Cisticolidae.
CAGCACAAUUAGUAAGAUCAGAUUAAAAGAAUAGAAAAAACAAACAAUCCAGCCCCCCCAGAUCAUGAUGGGUUUAUAUAUGUCAAAUAUUAGAAUCUUUAUGACUAAUUCCUCAGGUAUUUUGAGCCACUUUGCUGGGACGUGUUUAUUUUCUCUGAAAGUAGAGGUGGGAAGUGUGGCUGUGCCUGGUCAGAGGUCACAUUGGGUUGUUGUGCUGAAGAGCUGAGUGUUCCUGCUGUGUCACUGACGGGUUGUGCCAGACCUUGCUGUGGGGUGCUGAAGGUGUGAUUCUCCUGAUGGUGGAGAGACCAGGGUUUCCACUGAAGUCAGGAAGGCAGAUGGUGCUGCUGACCUGCUGCCUUACAACCCUCUCCAUCCUUCUCUUCCCUGGUAGUGGAAAUACCUCAUUAGCUUUAGAAGGUGUGGAAAAAAGGAGAGGGGAGGAGAACUCUGUCCUUUCUCCUGACAAAAAGAAAAAGAAGUCAGUUUUGGAAAGUUCUGUUAGGUGAGACCUUCUUUCAGUUGCUGGCUUGUCCUCCUCCUCCUUUCACAUCACCCAGAACCUAUGAGGCAUCUGGAGGUGGUGCUCCAUGCUGUGCCUAUGCUCACUGCUGUAUUAAUUUAAAUAAAUCAUGCAAAUUAAAAAAGAAAGAAAAAAGAAAAAGAAUAACACCCUAAAAUCUUCCUUCUGUGCAAAAAUAAAUCAAAAGAUAGGAGUUUCUCUGGGAAUAAACCUUGUCCAGUGUGGUAGGAGCUGCUGUGUAAUGGCCUGUCCCUUUCUUCUCUCUGAAGGUCCCAACCCCAUGCGUCCCACUGGUCUGGAAUAAUGUUUGGAAUCUGGCAGUCUGGUCCUUCUUGUAGCUCCAGAGGAUUUUGAGGAGCAUGAGGAACAUGGGAUGCAUGGACAUACGGACCCACAAAACCCUCUGGAGAAUGCUGGCUGUGGAUAAAAGCAUCUGGAAGUUUCUACCAUCUUUUUACCCUGUUUUUUCCUGGGUCACCCUGUGUCAUUUAUGGCCCUGUCCUGAGGAUUACAGCAUACAGUCACUUACUGGAAUACCUCCCCAUGCAUCUUCUUGAAAUGGAGCCACUGCUUUACCCAGCUGGAAGAGUCUUUCUCUUUCUCUAGAGCUUUUCCAGUGCAACAGCAGUCCUGUCCAGCAGGUCUUGGUUGACUGCAGAAAGGAGAAGGGAGGAGUGUGUCAAAGGGAGGUCAGAUCCUGCCAGGGUUUCCUGGGAAAUGAGGUGUACCCACUGUUUGGAUGAUCAAACUUGAUGAGCUGCAAUUCGGCUUGGAUUACAGUAUUUCAGAAGACUUUCUGAACUUGCCUGGCAACCCUCCCCCUAGACUUUGGGGGACAGAGGAGCUUAAAUUUCUAUUUCCAGUGUCACACAAGGAGAAAGAGCAGAGUUGGCUGCUUUGCUCAAGUAAUGAAAAUGAAUGCUGUGUUGCUCUUGGAAGGAGUGCUCAAAAGAGAAAAAGCCUGGCAUAUAGAUCUUGGUUUAGAGACAGAUUUUGCCUGGGAAGAGUGUGCCCAGGGGAAGAUACAGGAAGAAGGAGAAGAGGUGAUGCUACAAGCCAGCUUCCUGAUCUUCAGAGUGGGACUGAAGCUUUGUAACAAGAUUUAUCUGGAAAGUAUGACCGACAGGAGCAGCUUACUCACCAUUAGAUAAGUAUUGCAGAUGACUCAUGCUGGAGCAUUGAUAGCAGUGCUGCUGACAUGGUAUCCUGUUUUAUAACUGCUGUAGUGUGAUGCCAAGAACCAGGAACCUUAAUUCCACUAUCCAUGCUUUUCUGUGAAUGUGCUUUGGGUCCCUGCACCUUUUCUCCUUGGUUUAUCCAGCUAAAGGGUUCACAGGGAAGGUUUUGCUUCCCUCAGUGGGGUACAGGGUAUGGGCCAGCUUGUGUCACCUUGAAAUGAAAGCUGGUGUUGAAAGGCUGCAGCUUUAUAGCUGUUCUCCAGGACAUGCAAUAUUUGUGUUUUUAAUAGAUGCUGUUAGUGACUUUCUUCGAUUCUUUGGGUUUUUUUGUUUUGUUUGUGUUUUUUCAGAGCCAUUAUAUCCCUUCUUCAGCAGAACAAACCAGAAGCUGCAGAAACAGAUUUUCUAACUAUGGAAGCUCUCCUGAGGAGCUGCAUUAUGUGCUGCUGCCCCUGGGAUGGGGCGCAGGGCAAGCAGUGAAGAACAGCUGCGAUGUGCCACUGCAAGCUGCUUUUGUGAGGAGAGGGACUUUCUGGCAUGGCAUGUGGUGCUGAAAGACAUUUUACUCUUGGCAGCAAAAAUCCUUAUCCUUCUUGGGUUUUUUUUCCAGGACAGAUGCUAUUUCCUGUUCGAGAUGCUUUGUAUGCAAAUCAAGAUGGUACAACAAGAAAAAAGUCCUGAAAGCAAUCACACCGAUAAGCUCAGCCCACUGGGGAAUUCCUGCUUAUCAUUUAUCUUUUUCUUUCAGUUCUGUACAAGAUAAUUCUUUGCUUGUGCUCUCUUAUAGUCUUUAAUGUUUGUCCUGCCCAGACCUCUUGCUUAUGAACUACAGUGCUUGCAUUUUGCAGAGUUCCAGGUCAGUCUGCACAAACAAAAGGCAGUAAGUGCUGGAAGUUGAGGUUAACAGUCCCUGUGUUUCAGCUUGAUCUUGCAUUGAUCUGGUGCUUCUGAAGUUCAAGCUAGACAUGAGCCUCACACAAGAGAUUGCCACAUGCCUGUAGUGAUGAUGAUGAUCUACCUGGAAAGGUGAUCUCAGAAGCCUUAGGAAUGAAAAAAAAAAGAGAGAUAAAAAGCAAAAAGAAGCUAGCAAAAAGUUUACCUUGUAACUUAAACAGGAGCAGGAUUUGACCUCAAGAGAUGGUGUGGGCAGCAUUGCAGUAAUGCAGUAACAUGAGUUGUUCACCUUGUUGCUCCAGCAAAGCAAACUCACAUAGAAUCACGGACUGAUUUGGGUGAAGGGACCUUAAAGAUCAUCUAGUUGAACUCCCUUGGCAUGGGCAGGGACACCUUCUAUCAGACCAGGCUGUUCAGGACCCCUUCCAACCUGGCCUUGAGCACUUCCAAGGUUUGGCCAUCCACAACUUCCCAUGGCAUCUGCUCAGCCUGUGCUCUGUAGGUGUCCCUAUAAGUGGAUGGGGCUGAGCAAAGCCUUGCUCUCACCAGCCUGCCACGCUGCUGAUGUUACAACAGGCUGUGGGGGUGAAAAAAAGACUCAGAAACAGAAAAGGACAUGUCAGAGAGCUGCAGAAGGGCAUUGCCAAAGAACAUUCUCAUUCAUGUCCAGAGACAGCCACUGCAGCCCAGGCCUUGUUGAAUCAUGCUAUGGUUGUUCUGGCCUUUGAGUAACAGUGAUAAUCCUUGUGUGUGGUGUUGGGUUUUAUUAUUUGCUUUUUUUCCUUAAAUGUAAAAUGAGCAGUCAAAUUGACAUUGGUGAGGCAGCAAGCCUGGUGCAGUUUUUAUCUAUCCUGAACCUCGGAACAAAGGAGAGGAGGAAAAUGGCUUGACCAGUUUGGCGGCCGUGCACGUAACGGUCCCGGAGUUCAAAGCAAAGGGCACAGCACUCAGAUACCCAAACCCGCCUGGGCUUUGCCUGAUAAGUCACAUUUCAAAGUAAAAGGCAAUCCUGUAGGGGCUCUGCUGAGUGCCUAAAGCCUCCAGUGCUGAGUCUUCUUUAAAAGGGGAUUUCAUAAGGAGUAAUAUGAACAGAAAUGGCUCUUUUGUGGUUUUACACAUUCCAGGCAUGCCAGAACUGUUCCUGUCAAGGAUGGGCAGUCUCUGGGGUUUUGGGUUCUUUUUCAUUUUUUUUUCCAAAUAUUUGCCACAAACUGGCAGCUGAAAUGGUGAAAAAUAAAUGAGUUGCAAAAUCAUUAUAGUAGCAGUAAUGGAAACUGUGAGGCUUAUACUUAAACUGGCUGUGGGGUUUCACUCCAUCUCUGCACUGUUGUGCUGUGAGGAUUGAGACUUUUACCUGCUAUGACCACUUCAGGAUGGAUGAUUUGAAAGCUUUAACUGUUGGUUACCCAGGAUCUCAAAAAACAGUGCUUUUGGCUUUUUCAGAAGCAAUAUCUUUUCAGCUGAACCGCUGUUAAGUCUGAAUUCCCUCAGUGUUGGUGCAGUUAUGUGGCCAUAUAGCAUCUUUACAUGAUGAUUUCUGCAGCUCUGUGUUACAGAAAUGGGACCCAGCUGUUCCUGCUUCAGGAGCACUUUUGUUUCACACAGGCUGUGCCAGUUUGGUUUGCACCCAUACACGUUAACACAGAGUUUUAACUGGUGUAAGAGUUUCAAUGCAUCAAGUUGUGGUGCCUGAAAUCUUAAAGAAGAGCACCUUUGCCUUAAAACAGUCUGAAGUUUCACAUGCAGUAAAACACCAGGUUCUGUGUGGAUCUGCCGUGUUAGAUGAGUGUCUAAUUCAUAAGCCUACGUGUCCUGUUCUUCUCCACAUGGAUGCUGCUCCUGUUGCCAUAGUCCUGUGUCUGGUGUAGUAGCAGAACCUCAUGGACAGCUGGGAAAGCCAUGGCCAGAGGUGUUGCUGAUAUCACCUCACAAAAAGUAUGGCAGUAACAAUGUGCAAUUAAGUGUGGGCCUCAGCUCCCCUGAGACACCCUACUCAAACACUCAGUACCUUUAUUAGCAGCGCACACUGACCACAGCCAGCUCAGCACCUCCGUGAGCUGGAGCUGCACCUUUACCUGCUCUGCAGGUGAGACUGAUCCCUCUGUGGGGGGAGCAGAAAGUGGUGCCAGGCUCAUCCCAGCAGAGUCUGAACCACAGGACCACAGAUACCCAUCCUGAGAAUUUGUUGUCAGCCCAAGUUUGACUAGAGCACAAAUGUAGACAGGGGAUGAGAAAGCAUCUCUUUGGAAGUGGCAAUAAAAGAGACACUGUUGGAAUGAACCUUCUGGCCUGGUUUUAUUAAACGUGAAUAUGGUUACUUAGUGGUGAAUGGGAGCUGGAGUGGAUUUAGGAGAUGGUUCCUGAAGCCCCCUCCCAGCCUCCAGCACACACUGAUGUCACACAGAAGUCUCAAGGCUGUUGCCUGGGUUGUUGUGGGUCUGUGGGUGGAGGAACUUAAUCACCAGGGUUGUUGUCAAAUGCUGCACUUACAAGAUAGAAGGAAGAAGUGCUUCUGUUAAUUGUGUGCUCAACAUAAAUAUUUUUCAUCUUAGAGGAGUCUAGUCUUCUAGCCUUCUGGACUGCUGCCAUUUUGGAUUUGUUUCCAUAAAAAAGGAAAAAAAAUUUUUUUCUUUCCCCAUCAGUGUUACCAAUGGCAGAUUUUUGGAAACAAAGUCAGAAGGGGGUGUUCAGCAGUGAGCUGUCUUUUUACUAGGCCAAUCUUUCAGGAGUUGGUUUUGAAGUGGAUUUUGUUCUGUUCACUCAAGUUCUCUGCUGUGGAAAUGUUUAUUGCUGAGAAUCUGCAGCAAGCCUUAUAAGUGGCAGGAAAAACUACCUUUGUAACCAAACAAAUGUGCUUUCCCUACAAGUCACACAGGUGUACCUUUGGAAUUUUCUUGUUUUGUUUUGUACCAAAAUUUUUAUCAUAAUUUUUCCAUUGUGCUAUCUGGAGUGGAAAAAUGAGUGGACCUUGAGUUGCAUUUUAAUAUAGAUUUUAUCCAUUAAUCACAGCAGAAGGGUACACAGAGAUUCUCUGUUAUCCUUCUUUUUCUGUGCAUUUGCUAAGUGUUUUGUGCCUUAGAAUCUCUGUUUUCACGUUUGAUGGUUUGAGAGUUUUGACAGAGAGGGCAGAAAUGCUUAAAAGUUUUAAUGUCCUUUGGAAGGCUACAAAAAUUAUGCAGUGGUGAAGAGAUGCAGGCAACCUGUAGAAGAGCCAGCUUUUGACAGCAUGGGAAGUGGUUAGCGCCUCAUUGGACAUCCUCACAUCAAAGCUGGACAGUGGGCUGCUUGAGAUACUCUGUUUGAACCACAAAUUGCUGGGCUUUGGGCAGAAAUCACUGUAUGAAAUUCUGUGGUCAUUAUUAGGCAAGCGGACAGACAAAAUAAUUUUGCUGGUUUCUCUCGGCUCUUAGAAUUUAUGAAUCACAUAGUCAGGGUGUUCUGAGGGGGGGGUUGAGUUUCCAUGAAAAGUUUGCCUUGGUAGCAUGCAGACAACAGAACCCAUCUGUUCUCUUGUCCUUUCAUCACGCUGUGUUGCUUUUGAAUUGUUCCAUAAGGAGGGUGAAAUCAGGCUUGUUAUUUAAAUUUCAGUAUGGGUGGCCAAAGCAACUCUACCUUGGUUAUUAUGGGCCUCCUGUGACCACAGGAAUAGAUGGUGCCUUGUGCCAGCCCUGGUUUAACAGACACCUGAGGAGCAACUCAUGGCUGCAGCAUAGCCCAUGGGAAUUGUGUGCCAUGGGAUCCUGCAGCAAGGCAGUGUCUGGGGAUCUCCUCGCACUCUUUAGUAGUAAGGAUGUAAUCUGCCUUUGUAGGCUGGUAUCUGAUGAAAUAGCACAGUGUGGAAAAAAACCCAACCCCACACUCAUUUAUGGUAGUUGAGUGUGUGUAGUUGGGAACAAAGAGUUCAGGUUCUGUCUGAAGUGCGUUGGAGCACAGAGUCAGGGAGAGAGUCCCUGGGAUCCUCGUGUGUAAUCAUGUGAAGGCGAGCUUGUGAUGGAGCUGUGAGACAGAAGGGAACCCAGCAGCUCUGGAGAGCAAGUAGGAGCAGGGAUGUGACUUGUGAUUUUGUCCUUUUGAAGGAGGGCACACUGCCUGGUGUCUGUAAGAAGGGAGGGGAGGUGCCAGGAAGAGUUCAUGGAAAGCCACAGAUGACUUUGUUUUGCUUUGACUCCAGGCUUGAGGAGUGCAGUGUAUUUGGUUAAUUGGGAUGAAGGCUGGCAACAGGGUGACUUGGUUGCCACAUCUAGAGGAAGAAAGUUUUGAUCAGCAGGUUUGGGGUAAGGAGGAACCCAUAGAAUUUCUAUGUCCUUUUCCAGAUUUUAGAGGAAAUGUCUGUCUAGCGUUGCAGGUUUAGUCUAAAAUAUUGGGCAUAUUAUGUAGAGGUCUUGGGUGCAAGGGAUUGAUAUGCAGUAAAGGGAUUGAUAUCCUGAAGGCAGGAUGGAUUAUUUGGGUCUUUCUGCCUUUAUGCUCAGAGCUCUGGUACUGUCCAGCACCUUCUUCCCUCAAAGAAGGGAAGCACCUUCUAGCCCUCCCUGGGGUAGGGAAGUUCUGCCACAACACUGGGCGCAGUGUAAACUGUCAGGACAAAAUGCUUUGGAGCCAUCUCACCUUAAGCCACAUGUCUAAGAUAUCUGGCUUUCCCUCUGGUGAUGGCUGUUGUCCUCUAGCAGCUAUGUGGGAGACCAGAAAUCUGCCUGAGAUGUGGACUCCUGUGCUUUGAAUGUCUGAAGCUGUGCGAGGUGAACGCCCAUCUCACUGCCUGUGUGCAUGAUGAGGAGUUAGUGGAACAAAGAACCUGACAAAGAACUCUCUGACACCACCUGAGAUGAAAAUAAUAUGGAAACUUUAAUCAGCUUUCUGCAGCUGAGCUGUCCCUGGAGGUCCUGUAUCAAACCUGACCCACUUGCUGAACCCCAGCAGUGCAGCACUGGGCACUCCUCUGCCUGCCCUCAGAAGAAUGAAGGGACAGCAGUAUAAAAAGAGAGACAAGUACAGGGGACAGCAAUCAGUGGUAAGUCUUCAGUAAGACAGAGCUGGGGUAUUUUGUUCAUUAUUAAAAGCAAACCCACCUAGUGCAGCAUUUCUCUUUGUGAGGUGCUCAGAAAGUAGGGAAGUGUUCACAGUUUUGUUUUCAACGUGAUUGAAUGUUUUCCCAGUUCUUGCUCUGCACCCUGGCUCGUCCCAUCCCAGUCUUUCCAGCCAUGCCAUGUUGGGAAGCAGCUGUGAGCUCAUCCUCAGGGCUGAGUUCUGACGUGGUGACUGUCCUGGGGUAGACUGCUUUGCAGGGAUGGAGGGAGGGCUCUUGCCACUGGCAAGGAGCAGCAUAACUCUUCUGCCACUUGUCCCAGUUUGCUGUCAGGCUGGCCUCCCAUGAUGGCUCAUCAUGAGCCCAGCCUCCCAUCUCUAAGCUCCCCAGAGAUGUUACCACUUUGCCAUGCCAUCAGAUUAGGGUAUCAGAGUGGAUAAACAGCAGUGGGUAAAAAUCAAAUCCAAGACCUCUGGGCUUUGAGAGGGUGAUAGCAGUGGGCUAUUUGUAGCAAACUGUAACCCAUAUCCCCUUUCUAGGUAGAUGUUCCUGGGAAGAUGAUUCCCAUGUGCUCCUCAGAAGGGCUGCUGAGCUGCCGACAAGCACCAAGCUUUCCCUUCCUGUGUGUACCCACCCUGCUGGCUGCAGCCCUUGCUGGACCCUGGGAGGAUGCAAGGCUCUGGCACUCCUGGGCUGCUGAGGCCUGGCUGCACUCCCUGGGCAGAGUGAUGCUCCAGGGCCUUUGAAUAGUGAGGGAAAUAGUGGGCCUCCAGAAUAGUGAGGGAAAACUACCUCCUCCCUGGACACAAAUCACAUUGAUUUGCUGAUGUAUUUUCUUAUUUUUUCUUUUGGCUGUCUAAAGUACAAACCUCUUUCACCUAUUUGACAUUAAUUCACUAAUGGAUGGCAGAAGGUUUAGUGUUUCAUUUUUAACUGAAAGAGUGAUGAUGCAAUUAUAAACCUUACAUCCAUUAUGUAUCUGUGAACCUUGUGAAAAGUGUGAGUUUUUAUAGAAAAUGUGAGAGUGGUAGGGGUUCUGGAAUAAAC